This 355-nucleotide ribosomal RNA is filed under the name Fusarium oxysporum f. sp. phaseoli. RNAcentral describes it as "eukaryotic LSU rRNA". The stretch from base 2 to 142 matches the Rfam family "5.8S ribosomal RNA". Lineage: Eukaryota; Fungi; Ascomycota; Sordariomycetes; Hypocreales; Nectriaceae. The record is from RNAcentral.
GGGAGCUCUUGGUUCUGGCNUCGAUGAAGAACGCANGCAAAUGCGAUAAGUAAUGUGAAUUGCAGAAUUCAGUGAAUCAUCGAAUCUUUGAACGCACAUUGCGCCCGCCAGUAUUCUGGCGGGCAUGCCUGUUCGAGCGUCAUUUCAACCCUCAAGCACAGCUUGGUGUUGGGACUCGCGUUAAUUCGCGUUCCUCAAAUUGAUUGGCGGUCACGUCGAGCUUCCAUAGCGUAGUAGUAAAACCCUCGUUACUGGUAAUCGUCGCGGCCACGCCGUUAAACCCCAACUUCUGAAUGUUGACCUCGGAUCAGGUAGGAAUACCCGCUGAACUUAAGCAUAUCAAUAAGCGGAGGAA